Molecule: ribosomal RNA, 430 nt
Filed under: Actinomycetes bacterium
Lineage: Bacteria; Bacillati; Actinomycetota; Actinomycetes
Description: Actinobacteria bacterium partial 16S ribosomal RNA
Rfam family: Bacterial small subunit ribosomal RNA
Source: RNAcentral
UGGGGAAUAUUGGACAAUGGGCGCAAGCCUGAUCCAGCCAUGCCGCGUGUGUGAAGAAGGCCUUUUGGUUGUAAAGCACUUUAAGCGAGGAGGAGGCUACUUGGAUUAAUACUCUAGGAUAGUGGACGUUACUCGCAGAAUAAGCACCGGCUAACUCUGUGCCAGCAGCCGCGGUAAUACAGAGGGUGCGAGCGUUAAUCGGAUUUACUGGGCGUAAAGCGUGCGUAGGCGGCUUCUUAAGUCGGAUGUGAAAUCCCUGAGCUUAACUUAGGAAUUGCAUUCGAUACUGGGAAGCUAGAGUAUGGGAGAGGAUGGUAGAAUUCCAGGUGUAGCGGUGAAAUGCGUAGAGAUCUGGAGGAAUACCGAUGGCGAAGGCAGCCAUCUGGCCUAAUACUGACGCUGAGGUACGAAAGCAAGGGGAGCAAACAGG